This 308-nucleotide ribosomal RNA is filed under the name uncultured bacterium. RNAcentral describes it as "partial 16S ribosomal RNA". It matches the Rfam family "Bacterial small subunit ribosomal RNA", at positions 505 to 807 of the family's 1533-position model. The record is from RNAcentral.
GAGACAGCAGUAGCCACGGUAAUACAGAGGGUGCGAGCGUUAAUCGGAUUUACUGGGCGUAAAGCGUGCGUAGGCGGCUUUUUAAGUCGGAUGUGAAAUCCCUGAGCUUAACUUAGGAAUUGCAUUCGAUACUGGGAAGCUAGAGUAUGGGAGAGGAUGGUAGAAUUCCAGGUGUAGCGGUGAAAUGCGUAGAGAUCUGGAGGAAUACCGAUGGCGAAGGCAGCCAUCUGGCCUAAUACUGACGCUGAGGUACGAAAGCAUGGGGAGCAAACAGGAUUAGAUACCCCAGUAGUCCCUGUCUCUUAUAC